CCUACGGGGGGCAGCAGUGGGGAAUAUUGCGCAAUGGGCGAGAGCCUGAACCAGCCAAGUCGCGUGAGGGAGUACUGCCCUAUGGGUUGUAAACCUCUUUUGUCGGGGAGCAAAAGCCGGACGUGUCCGGCUGUGAGAGUACCCGAAGAAAAAGCAUCGGCUAACUCCGUGCCAGCAGCCGCGGUAAUACGGAGGAUGCGAGCGUUAUCCGGAUUUAUUGGGUUUAAAGGGUGCGCAGGCGGAUUUUUAAGUCAGCGGUAAAAUCGUGGGGCUCAACCCCAUCCAGCCGUUGAAACUGGGGAUCUAGAGUGUGCGAGAGGUAUGCGGAAUGCGUGGUGUAGCGGUGAAAUGCAUAGAUAUCACGCAGAACCCCGAUUGCGAAGGCAGCAUACCGGUGCACAACUGACGCUCAGGCACGAAAGCGUGGGUAUCGAACAGGAUUAGAUACCCCAGUAGUC
RNAcentral lists this ribosomal RNA (458 nucleotides) under uncultured bacterium. Its description in RNAcentral is "partial 16S ribosomal RNA". It matches the Rfam family "Bacterial small subunit ribosomal RNA", at positions 338 to 795 of the family's 1533-position model. The record is from RNAcentral.